This 253-nucleotide ribosomal RNA is filed under the name uncultured bacterium. Its description in RNAcentral is "partial 16S ribosomal RNA". It matches the Rfam family "Archaeal small subunit ribosomal RNA", at positions 474 to 727 of the family's 1478-position model. The record is from RNAcentral.
UACCAGCACCCCGAGUGGUCGGGACGUUUAUUGGGCCUAAAGCAUCCGUAGCCGGUUCUACAAGUCUUCCGUUAAAUCCAGCUGCUUAACAGAUGGGCUGCGGAAGAUACUAUGGAGCUAGGAGGCGGGAGAGGCAAGCGGUACUCGAUGGGUAGGGGUAAAAUCCGUUGAUCCAUUGAAGACCACCAGUGGCGAAGGCGGCUUGCCAGAACGCGAUCGACGGUGAGGGAUGAAAGCUGGGGGAGCAAACCGG